GUGAGGGCUCCUCCUUGCACCAGUCACAAUUACCAGAUACAGAUAUGGACGGUCUAGUUCACACACCAGGGACCCACUUCAACAUAGCAACUUCAUCAGAACUGGGCUGGUGAAUAUUUCUUCUAGGACAUCUAAGAAGGGUUGAUGCUGUUCAAUGGCCACACAAAAAGCAAGGAACUUGAAGGAUUCAAAUCCAGGAGGAGCCACUCCAACACUGCUGUAGUUACUCCACGUGCAGAUAUUGGGCUAAAGAAGCAGGCCCCAUCAAUAGUCAGUAAACAACUACUGACUGCGUCUUCUUCUGUUUGUAUCUCUGUGAGAGAAUGA
RNAcentral lists this long non-coding RNA (327 nucleotides) under Gopherus agassizii (Agassiz's desert tortoise). RNAcentral describes it as "lncRNA (ENSGAGG00000019316.1)". Lineage: Eukaryota; Metazoa; Chordata; Testudines; Testudinidae. The record is from RNAcentral.